AGAGUUUGAUCCUGGCUCAGAAUCAACGCUGGCGGCGCGCUUAACACAUGCAAGUCGCACGAGAAAGAGGGAGCAAUCCCUUGAGUACAGUGGCGUACGGGUGAGUAACACGUGGAUCAUCUACCUUCUAGUGGGGAAUAACCCUGGGAAACUGGGGCUAAUACCGCAUAAGCUCGAAAGAGGAAAGCAGCAAUGCGCUGGAAGAGGAGUCCGCGGCUCAUUAGCUAGAUGGCGGGGUAAUGGCCCACCAUGGCGAAGAUGGGUAGCCGGCCUGAGAGGGCACACGGCCACACUGGCACUGAAACACGGGCCAGACUCCUACGGGAGGCAGCAGUGGGGAAUCUUGCACAAUGGAGGAAACUCUGAUGCAGCGACGCCGCGUGAGCGAUGAAGCCCUUCGGGGUGUAAAGCUCUUUCGACGGGAACGAUAAUGACGGUACCCGAAGAAGAAGCUGCGGCUAACUACGUGCCAGCAGCCGCGGUAAUACGUAGGCAGCGAGCGUUGUUCGGAAUUACUGGGCGUAAAGAGUGUGUAGGCGGUGCUCCAAGUCUGUUGUGAAAUCUCCCGGCUCAACUGGGAGGGUGCGGCGGAAACUGGAGUGCUCGAGUAUGGGAGAGGUAAGCGGAAUUCCUGGUGUAGCGGUGAAAUGCGUAGAUAUCAGGAGGAACACCUGCGGUGUAGACAGCUUACUGGACCAUCACUGACGCUGAGACACGAAAGCGUGGGUAGCAAACAGGAUUAGAUACCCUGGUAGUCCACGCCCUAAACGAUGCAUACUUGGUGUGAGCCAUUCAUUUGGUUCGUGCCGGAGCUAACGCGUUAAGUAUGCCGCCUGGGGAGUACGGUCGCAAGGCUGAAACUCAAGGAAUUGACGGGGGCCCGCACAAGCGGUGGAGCAUGUGGUUCAAUUCGACGCAACGCGAAGAACCUUACCUGGGCUCGAACGGCCGGCUAACGAUCGUGGAAACACGGUUACUCCGCAAGGGGGUCCGGUCGAGGUGCUGCAUGGCUGUCGUCAGCUCGUGUCGUGAGAUGUUGGGUUAAGUCCCGCAACGAGCGCAACCCUUGUCCUGUGUUGCCACUCCCGCAAGGGAAGCACUCUCAGGAGACCGCCAGCGAUAAGCUGGAGGAAGGUGGGGAUGAUGUCAAGUCAUCAUGGCCUUUAUGUCCAGGGCUACACACGUGCUACAAUGGCCGGUACAAAGCGCUGCAAACCCGCGAGGGGGAGCUAAUCGCAAAAAACCGGUCUCAGUUCGGAUUGCAGGCUGCAACUCGCCUGCAUGAAGCUGGAAUCGCUAGUAAUGGCGUAUCAGAACGAUGCCGUGAAUACGUUCCCGGGCCUUGUACACACCGCCCGUCACAUCACGAAAGUGGAUUGUACUAGAAGUCUGCAUGCCGACCGCAAGGGGGCAGCGGCCCAAGGUAUGAUUCAUGAUUGGGGUGAAGUCGUAACAAGGUA
Molecule: ribosomal RNA, 1460 nt
Filed under: uncultured soil bacterium
Lineage: Bacteria
Description: 16S ribosomal RNA
Rfam family: Bacterial small subunit ribosomal RNA
Source: RNAcentral